This is a small nucleolar RNA of Phyllostomus hastatus (greater spear-nosed bat), 134 nucleotides long. Lineage: Eukaryota; Metazoa; Chordata; Mammalia; Chiroptera; Phyllostomidae. The record is from RefSeq and is a predicted model, not a curated record.
UUCCAAAGUGUUCAGUUCAGGGCAGCUUUCCUGUUCUGUUAAUUAAACUCUGGGACAUUGAAACACAGGCUUUGGAGAGAUGAUUGGAUGGAUAGAAAGCAUUGCUCUAUUCAUUUACCUCCCAGCCUACAAAA